AUAGUAUAUAGAUACUCCUGUAUUUAUAUUUAAAGGUGCUUCAAAGCACCACUUAAGAAGAGGUCUAUGUCGCAUUAGCUAGUUGGUGGGAUAAGAGCUCACCAAGGCGACGAUGCGUAGCUGUGCUGAGAGGUAGAACAGCCACAUUGGGACUGAGAUACGGCCCAAACUCCUACGGGAGGCAGCAGUAGGGAAUUUUCGGCAAUGGGGGGAACCCUGACCGAGCAAUGCCGCGUGAUUGAAGACGGUCUUCGGACUGUAAAGAUCUGUUAUUAGGGAAGAAUUUUUACUUUAGGAAAUGGAAGUAAAUUGACGGUGCCUAAUGAGGAAGCCCCGGCUAACUAUGUGCCAGCAGCCGCGGUAAUACAUAGGGGGCAAGCGUUAUCCGGAAUUAUUGGGCGUAAAGGGUACGUAGGCGGGCUUGCAAGUCUGAUUUGAAAGCACAUGGCUUAACCAUGUGAGGUAAUUAGAAACUACGAGUCUAGAGAGUGGUAGAGGUAAAUGGAAUUCCAAGUGGAGCGGUGAAAUGCGUAGAGAUUUGGAGGAACACCAGUGGCGAAGGCGGUUUACUGGGCCACAUCUGACGCUGAUGUACGAAAGCGUGGGGAGCAAACAGGAUUAGAUACCCUGGUAGUCCACGCCGUAAACGAUGAGUGCUAAGUAUCGGGGGAUUUCGGUGCAUAAAUAACGCAGAAAGCACUCCCCCUGGGGAGGACGGUUGCAAGAUGUAACUCAAAGGAAUUAACGGGGACUCGCACAAGCGGUGGAGCAUGAGGUUUAAUUGGAUGCAACGCGAAGAACCUUACCAGGUCUUGACA
This 818-nucleotide ribosomal RNA is filed under the name uncultured bacterium. RNAcentral describes it as "bacterial SSU rRNA". It matches the Rfam family "Bacterial small subunit ribosomal RNA", at positions 173 to 986 of the family's 1533-position model. The record is from RNAcentral.